RNAcentral lists this ribosomal RNA (253 nucleotides) under uncultured Dorea sp. Its description in RNAcentral is "partial 16S ribosomal RNA". It matches the Rfam family "Bacterial small subunit ribosomal RNA", at positions 524 to 776 of the family's 1533-position model. The record is from RNAcentral. Lineage: Bacteria; Bacillati; Bacillota; Clostridia; Lachnospirales; Lachnospiraceae.
UACGUAGGGGGCAAGCGUUAUCCGGAUUUACUGGGUGUAAAGGGAGCGUAGACGGCUGUGCAAGUCUGGAGUGAAAGGCAUGGGCUCAACCUGUGGACUGCUUUGGAAACUGGUUGACUUGAGUGCAGAAGAGGGAAGUGGAAUUCCAUGUGUAGCGGUGAAAUGCGUAGAGAUAUGGAGGAACACCAGUGGCGAAGGCGGCUUCCUGGUCUGCAACUGACACUGAGGCGCGAAAGCGUGGGGAGCAAACAGG